Long non-coding RNA from Heterocephalus glaber (naked mole-rat), 558 nucleotides. Lineage: Eukaryota; Metazoa; Chordata; Mammalia; Rodentia; Bathyergidae. The record is from Ensembl.
CUCUCUGUUGCUGUUCGUUCUUGUUCUGUUCUUGUUUGCUGUGGUCUCUUUGUGGCAGAAGUGUUUUUAUGUAUGGCAAUAGGCCUGUUGCUUUUUUAUGGUGAUUCCCAUUGAAAAUGGAUCGAACUUGGGUCCUUGUGCUUGUACAGCAGGCGGCAAAACCACUGAGCUAAAUCCCCGGCCCAGGACGUCUUUCAUCUAAAAGCAAUACUUCACAGAACAUGUCUUAGGCACCAUAUCAUCACUGGGACACAAUCUGCAACACCCACAACUUACAAGAGGAGAGGUUGAUAUUGGCUCACAUUUUCAGUCAUAGUCUGCUGGCUUAAGGCAGGACAGCAAGGGCAAGGGGCACAGUGGAGGAGAGCUGCUCACCUCAGGGUGGCCAGGAUGAAGAAAGACAAGAGAGAAGCUGGAGAGGGACAUACACCCUUCCAAGUCACGCCCCCAGCAACCUGCCUCUCCCAGCCAAGCCCUACCUCUUAACGGUAAGUCAGCUGUAUCACCAUCACUCAAGCACCUUCCAAAAGUUCCACCUAUGAGUGCAUGAGAUUCUGG